GAUGAACGCUGGCGGCGUGCUUAACACAUGCAAGUCGAACGGGAUCCAAGGGGUGCUUGCACUUUUUGGUGAGAGUGGCGAACGGGUGAGUAACACGUGAGUAACCUGUCCUUUUCUUUGGGAUAAGCAUUCGAAAGGGUGUUUAAUACCUUAUGUUCUGUCUGCCUCGCAUGGGGUGGGUGGGAAAGGCUUUGGCCGGAUUUGGGUGGGCUCGCGGUCUAUCAGCUUGUUGGUGGGGUGAUGGCUUACCAAGGCUUUGACGGGUAGCCGGCCUGAGAGGGUGGUCGGUCACAUUGGGACUGAGAUACGGCCCAGACUCCUGCGGGAGGCAGCAGUGGGGGAUAUUGCACAAUGGGCGAAAGCCUGAUGCAGCGACGCCGCGUGGGGGAUGAAGGCCUUCGGGUUGUAAACUGCUUUUGCUCUGAACAAGGCAUGCCAGUGGGUGUGUUGAGUGUAGGGGUUGAUUAGCGCCGGCUAACUAC
Molecule: ribosomal RNA, 482 nt
Filed under: uncultured bacterium
Lineage: Bacteria
Description: partial 16S ribosomal RNA
Rfam family: Bacterial small subunit ribosomal RNA
Source: RNAcentral